UAAGCGGAGGAGAAGAAACUAACCAGGAUUUCCCUAGUAACGGCGAGCGAACCGGAAAGAGCCCAGCUUGAAAAUCGCGGCGCUUCGCGCCGCGAGUUGUAGUCUGGAGAUGCAUCUUCUGCAGCGCACCGGGCCCAAGUUCCCUGGAAAGGGACGUCAGAGAGGGUGACAACCCCGUCGAGCCCGGAGCGUGCUGCUCCACGAAAUGCAGUCGUCGAGUCGAGCUGUUUGGGAAUGCAGCUCUAAGUGGGUGGUAAAUUCCAUCCAAGGCUAAAUAUUGGCAGGAGACCGAUAGCGAACAAGUACCGCGAGGGAAAGAUGAAAAGGACUUUGAAAAGAGAGUUAAAAAGUGCUUGAAAUUGCUGGGAGGGAAGCGAAUGGAAGCUGCGGGUGCGCCCCGGUUGGAUGUGGAACGGCUCCUAAAGGGCUGGUCCGCCGCUCAACGCGGGGCGCUGGUCAGCGUGGGCUGCCGCGGCGGGACAAGAGCGGGGUGUAGCUCCCCGUCGAUGCCGUUGCGGCGGCCGAGGAACGAAGCAUGCGGCCCCUCUCCUGGGGCCGUGGGUCCUUAAAACGCCCAACUGCAUGCUCGGGACGCUGGCGUAUUGGGCUCUUCAUCCGACCCGUCUUGAAACACGGACCAAGGAGUCUAACAUGUAUGCGAGCCGGUGGGCGGCAAACCCAUUGAGGCGCAAGUAACCUGACAGGUGGGACCCCGAUCGUCAAAGAGAGGGAGCACCAUCGACCGACCGUGAUCUUCUGUGAAAGGUUUGAGUGUGAGCAUACCUGUUGGGACCCGAAAGAUGGUGAACUAUGCCUGAGCAGGGCGAAGCCAGAGGAAACUCUGGUGGAGGCUCGUAGCGAUACUGACGUGCAAAUCGUUCGUCAGACUUGGGUAUAGGGGCGAAAGACUAAUCGAACCAUCUAGUAGCUGGUUCCCUCCGAAGUUUCCCUCAGGAUAGCUGGAGCUCGUGUGUGAGUUUUAUCAGGUAAAGCGAAUGAUUAGAGGCAUCGGGGGUGUAACACCCUCGACCUAUUCUCAAACUUUAAAUAGGUAAGCCGCCGGGGUUGCUUGGCUGAACCCCGGCACAGAAUGAGAGCUCCAAGUGGGCCAU
Molecule: ribosomal RNA, 1112 nt
Filed under: Cladophascum gymnomitrioides
Lineage: Eukaryota; Viridiplantae; Streptophyta; Bryopsida; Dicranales; Dicranellaceae
Description: eukaryotic LSU rRNA
Rfam family: Eukaryotic large subunit ribosomal RNA
Source: RNAcentral